Molecule: ribosomal RNA, 656 nt
Filed under: Escherichia coli
Lineage: Bacteria; Pseudomonadati; Pseudomonadota; Gammaproteobacteria; Enterobacterales; Enterobacteriaceae
Description: partial 23S ribosomal RNA
Rfam family: Bacterial large subunit ribosomal RNA
Source: RNAcentral
AAUGGGUCAGCGACUUAUAUUCUGUAGCAAGGUUAACCGAAUAGGGGAGCCGAAGGGAAACCGAGUCUUAACUGGGCGUUAAGUUGCAGGGUAUAGACCCGAAACCCGGUGAUCUAGCCAUGGGCAGGUUGAAGGUUGGGUAACACUAACUGGAGGACCGAACCGACUAAUGUUGAAAAAUUAGCGGAUGACUUGUGGCUGGGGGUGAAAGGCCAAUCAAACCGGGAGAUAGCUGGUUCUCCCCGAAAGCUAUUUAGGUAGCGCCUCGUGAAUUCAUCUCCGGGGGUAGAGCACUGUUUCGGCAAGGGGGUCAUCCCGACUUACCAACCCGAUGCAAACUGCGAAUACCGGAGAAUGUUAUCACGGGAGACACACGGCGGGUGCUAACGUCCGUCGUGAAGAGGGAAACAACCCAGACCGCCAGCUAAGGUCCCAAAGUCAUGGUUAAGUGGGAAACGAUGUGGGAAGGCCCAGACAGCCAGGAUGUUGGCUUAGAAGCAGCCAUCAUUUAAAGAAAGCGUAAUAGCUCACUGGUCGAGUCGGCCUGCGCGGAAGAUGUAACGGGGCUAAACCAUGCACCGAAGCUGCGGCAGCGACGCUUAUGCGUUGUUGGGUAGGGGAGCGUUCUGUAAGCCUGCGAAGGUGUACUGUGAGGU